Molecule: long non-coding RNA, 688 nt
Organism: Vidua macroura (Pin-tailed whydah)
Lineage: Eukaryota; Metazoa; Chordata; Aves; Passeriformes; Viduidae
Exons: 3
Source: RefSeq, a predicted model, not a curated record
CAGGCACCGGGACAAUCCCUCGCACCAGCACGUUUCCCAUUCGCAGCCCAGCAUUAACUUCCCGCAUCCAGUCUUUGGAUAAUCCCAGAGCUUUACCAGAAGCAGACUGUGUUAUGGUGCAGAGAUGAGUUGCUUAAAGCUCCCCACCACAGAAGAGAUUCACGGCUCCAUUCCUCACACCUCCUCCCAGCCACAUCUUCCUUCCCCUUGCAGGGCUCGCCAGGCUUGUGUCCAGUCCUGCUGGGGACAGAAGGUUUUCCACACAGUACCUGCUCCACAGAGGAGGCUCCUCAAGCAGCUGGUCCCUGCAAGCUCCCAGAGAAGUCUUCCUUAAAUACACGAACCUGCCCAAGUCAAACAAGCAGAGCAACCUUUCCUCAGCUUCUAUAACUGACAUGACCAUUUGGACAUUACUAGUCCAAAAAGAAGUGCAGUUCAACCAGAUCCUUUCCUCCCUUAAUAAAAAAGUUCCUUCAGAUGCAUUUUGAAAAUCUAAAAUCUAUAAAAGUAAAGCCAGUUCAUGUGGUGGUGGGCAUCUCAUAAGUGUCCUUGUAAACACAGGAAUCCUAUUAACUUACUCUUGGUGACAAUGACAGAGCAAAUCUCAGAAAGGACAUGUGCACACUAAAUUUGUACCUCUGCUUUUUUAGCUGUGAAGCCAUUAAAAAGUACAGGAACUUUGUCCACA